CCUACGGGGGGCAGCAGUGGGGAAUCUUGCGCAAUGGGCGAAAGCCUGACGCAGCGACGCCGCGUGAGGGAAGAAGGCCUUCGGGUUGUAAACCUCUUUCAGGAGGGACGAAGCCACUCGGGUGAACAGCCCAGAGGGUGACGGUACCUCCAGAAGAAGCCCCGGCUAACUACGUGCCAGCAGCCGCGGUAAUACGUAGGGGGCAAGCGUUGUCCGGAUUUACUGGGCGUAAAGCGCGUGUAGGCGGCUACGCAGGUCUGUUGUGAAAACUGAAGGCUUA
RNAcentral lists this ribosomal RNA (280 nucleotides) under uncultured bacterium. RNAcentral describes it as "partial 16S ribosomal RNA". It matches the Rfam family "Bacterial small subunit ribosomal RNA", at positions 338 to 611 of the family's 1533-position model. The record is from RNAcentral.